CAGUAAACGGCGGCCGUAACUAUAACGGUCCUAAGGUAGCGAAAUUCCUUGUCGGGUAAGUUCCGACCCGCACGAAAGGCGUAACGAUUUGGGCACUGUCUCAACGAGAGACUCGGUGAAAUCAUAGUACCUGUGAAGAUGCAGGUUACCCGCGACAGGACGGAAAGACCCCGUGGAGCUUUACUGUAGCCUGAUAUUGAAAUUCGGCACAGCUUGUACAGGAUAGGUAGGAGCCUUUGAAACGUGAGCGCUAGCUUACGUGGAGGCGCUGGUGGGAUACUACCCUAGCUGUGUUGGCUUUCUAACCCGCACCACUUAUCGUGGUGGGAGACAGUGUCAGGCGGGCAGUUUGACUGGGGCGGUCGCCUCCUAAAAGGUAACGGAGGCGCUCAAAGGUUCCCUCAGAAUGGUUGGAAAUCAUUCAUAGAGUGUAAAGGCAUAAGGGAGCUUGACUGCGAGACCUACAAGUCGAGCAGGGUCGAAAGACGGACUUAGUGAUCCGGUGGUUCCGCAUGGAAGGGCCAUCGCUCAACGGAUAAAAGCUACCCCGGGGAUAACAGGCUUAUCUCCCCCAAGAGUUCACAUCGACGGGGAGGUUUGGCACCUCGAUGUCGGCUCAUCGCAUCCUGGGGCUGUAGUCGGUCCCAAGGGUUGGGCUGUUCGCCCAUUAAAGCGGUACGCGAGCUGGGUUCAGAACGUCGUGAGACAGUUCGGUCCCUAUCCGUCGUGGGCGUAGGAAAUUUGAGAGGAGCUGUCCUUAGUACGAGAGGACCGGGAUGGACAUACCUCUGGUGUACCAGUUGUCGUGCCAACGGCAUAGCUGGGUAGCUAUGUGUGGACGGGAUAAGUGCUGAAAGCAUCUAAGCAUGAAGCCCCCCUCAAGAUGAGAUUUCCCAACUUCGGUUAUAAGAUCCCUCAAAGAUGAUGAGGUUAAUAGGUUCGAGGUGGAAGCAUGGUGACAUGUGGAGCUGACGAAUACUAA
Molecule: ribosomal RNA, 982 nt
Filed under: Staphylococcus aureus
Lineage: Bacteria; Bacillati; Bacillota; Bacilli; Caryophanales; Staphylococcaceae
Description: partial 23S ribosomal RNA
Rfam family: Bacterial large subunit ribosomal RNA
Source: RNAcentral